GCCAGCGGGUGCUAAUACUGCAGUCGAGCGGACAGAAUGGGAGCUUGCUCCCUGAUGUUAGCGGCGGACGGGUGAGUAACACGUGGGUAACCUGCCUGUAAGACUGGGAUAACUCCGGGAAACCGGGGCUAAUACCGGAUGGUUGUUUGAACCGCAUGGUUCAGACAUAAAAGGUGGCUUCGGCUACCACUUACAGAUGGACCCGCGGCGCAUUAGCUAGUUGGUGAGGUAACGGCUCACCAAGGCGACGAUGCGUAGCCGACCUGAGAGGGUGAUCGGCCACACUGGGACUGAGACACGGCCCAGACUCCUACGGGAGGCAGCAGUAGGGAAUCUUCCGCAAUGGACGAAAGUCUGACGGAGCAACGCCGCGUGAGUGAUGAAGGUUUUCGGAUCGUAAAGCUCUGUUGUUAGGGAAGAACAAGUGCCGUUCAAAUAGGGCGGCACCUUGACGGUACCUAACCAGAAAGCCACGGCUAACUACGUGCCAGCAGCCGCGGUAAUACGUAGGUGGCAAGCGUUGUCCGGAAUUAUUGGGCGUAAAGGGCUCGCAGGCGGUUUCUUAAGUCUGAUGUGAAAGCCCCCGGCUCAACCGGGGAGGGUCAUUGGAAACUGGGGAACUUGAGUGCAGAAGAGGAGAGUGGAAUUCCACGUGUAGCGGUGAAAUGCGUAAAGAUGUGGAGGAACACCAGUGGCGAAGGCGACUCUCUGGUCUGUAACUGACGCUGAGGAGCGAAAGCGUGGGGAGCGAACAGGAUUAGAUACCCUGGUAGUCCACGCCGUAAACGAUGAGUGCUAAGUGUUAGGGGGUUUCCGCCCCUUAGUGCUGCAGCUAACGCAUUAAGCACUCCGCCUGGGGAGUACGGUCGCAAGACUGAAACUCAAAGGAAUUGACGGGGGCCCGCACAAGCGGUGGAACAUGUGGUUUAAUUCGAAGCAACGCGAAGA
Molecule: ribosomal RNA, 948 nt
Filed under: uncultured Bacillus sp.
Lineage: Bacteria; Bacillati; Bacillota; Bacilli; Caryophanales; Bacillaceae
Description: bacterial SSU rRNA
Rfam family: Bacterial small subunit ribosomal RNA
Source: RNAcentral